RNAcentral lists this transfer RNA (87 nucleotides) under Clostridiales bacterium UBA8960. RNAcentral describes it as "tRNA-Leu". It matches the Rfam family "tRNA". From Rfam's summary of the family: Transfer RNA (tRNA) molecules are approximately 80 nucleotides in length. Lineage: Bacteria; Bacillati; Bacillota; Clostridia; Eubacteriales; Eubacteriales Family XII. Incertae Sedis. The record is from RNAcentral.
GCAGUGGUGCUGGAAUUGGCAGACAGGCUGGUCUCAGAAGCCAGUGUCCUUUGGAACGUGUGGGUUCGAGUCCCAUCCGCUGCACCA